RNAcentral lists this unclassified non-coding RNA (336 nucleotides) under soil metagenome. Its description in RNAcentral is "partial contains 5.8S ribosomal RNA, internal transcribed spacer 2, and large subunit ribosomal RNA". The stretch from base 1 to 120 matches the Rfam family "5.8S ribosomal RNA", at positions 35 to 154 of the family's 154-position model. The record is from RNAcentral.
GAUGAAAAACGCAGCGAAAUGCGAUAAGUAGUGUGAAUUGCAGAAUUCAGUGAAUCAUCGAAUCUUUGAACGCACAUUGCGCCCCUUGGUAUUCCAUGGGGCAUGCCUGUUCGAGCGUCAUUUGUACCUUCAAGCUUUGCUUGGUGUUGGGUGUUUGUCUCGCCUUUGCGUGUAGACUCGCCUUAAAAUAAUUGGCAGCCGGCGUAUUGAUUUCGGAGCGCAGUACAUCUCGCGCUUUGCACUCAUAACGACAGCGUCCAAAAGUACAUUUUACACUCUUGACCUCGGAUCAGGUAGGGAUACCCGCUGAACUUAAGCAUAUCAAUAAGCGGAGGA